This 742-nucleotide ribosomal RNA is filed under the name uncultured bacterium. Its description in RNAcentral is "bacterial SSU rRNA". It matches the Rfam family "Bacterial small subunit ribosomal RNA", at positions 8 to 796 of the family's 1533-position model. The record is from RNAcentral.
AGAGUUUGAUCAUGGCUCAGAACGAACGCUGGCGGCAUGCCUAACACAUGCAAGUCGAACGAAGGCUUCGGCCUUAGUGGCGCACGGGUGCGUAACGCGUGGGAAUCUGCCCCUCGGUUCGGAAUAACAGUUAGAAAUGACUGCUAAUACCGGAUAAUGACUUCGGUCCAAAGAUUUAUCGCCGAGGGAUGAGCCCGCGUAAGAUUAGCUUGUUGGUGGGGUAAUGGCCUACCAAGGCGACGAUCUUUAGCUGGUCUGAGAGGAUGAUCAGCCACACUGGGACUGAGACACGGCCCAGACUCCUACGGGAGGCAGCAGUGGGGAAUAUUGGACAAUGGGCGAAAGCCUGAUCCAGCAAUGCCGCGUGAGUGAUGAAGGCCUUAGGGUUGUAAAGCUCUUUUACCAGGGAUGAUAAUGACAGUACCUGGAGAAUAAGCUCCGGCUAACUCCGUGCCAGCAGCCGCGGUAAUACGGAGGGAGCUAGCGUUGUUCGGAAUUACUGGGCGUAAAGCGCACGUAGGCGGCUAUUCAAGUCAGGCGUGAAAGCCCCGGGCUCAACCUGGGAACGGCGCUUGGGACUGGUUGGCUUGAGUUCGGGAGAGGAGCGUGGAAUUCCCAGUGUAGAGGUGAAAUUCGUAGAUAUUGGGAAGAACACCGGUGGCGAAGGCGGCGCUCUGGACCGAGACUGACGCUGAGGCGCGAAAGCGUGGGGAGCAAACAGGAUUAGAUACCCUAGUAGUCC